CCAUCACUGGGGUUGGUUUUAAAAGUCUUAUCCGGGCACGGUGCCGCCUGUAAUCCUAGCACUUUGGGUGGCCUAGGUGGGUGGAUCACCUGAGGUCAGGAGUUCAAGACCAGUUUGGCUAUCAUGGUGAAACCCCAUCUUAAAAAAAAAAAAAAAAAAAAAGUCUUAUCUGAAAUUCCUGGUGGAAUAGAAUUUCACCAAAGCUGAUCCAAAAGGCCUAUGUAGAAAUAACCGUUCUUGCUAUACUUAUGCAAAUAAUCAGGCCAAUUAUAAGACUAAAGUUUAUUCUAUGAACAACACACACAGCCCUAUUAUAAUUUGCUUUUACCAAAAAUGAGGACUGGAGAGAAAAGUUGUGCUCCAAAGCUUAUCAUACAUUUGUCAUUAAAUCCUAGUCUCAUUAAUCGUUUUUAAGCCUUUUGCCUACAUUUAAGACUAAUCCUGCUUAUUCCUGUGAAUCAAGUGGUGAUUUCCUGCAGCUUGGAAGAAAGAAAAAGGGAUGGAUAAUGUAAAAAAUCUGGAUCAAUAUGCUAGUUCUCGGCAAUUAUCCUGCAAAUUCUGCAAGGUAAUGAAAGUGAGAAGGGUGUCCAUAACCUGGAGGUUUCUUUCUUUGGGAAAAUAAAACCAAGGAACUUCAGAGACCCCCAAAGGGAAAUUCUAUAUCUUGAAUUAACACCUCUAGUAAAAGUAGAGGAAAAUCUACAGGUACUUAAAGAUCAACUCAAAAUCAUUGACAGGCUCAGGGAAAAUGCCGGCUUCAGCCCCAGGUAGCUACAAUUUCUCCUUAAUGAAUUCCAGUCUUCCUUAUGAAGCUGGUUAACCCCUUUAUUAAGCCCUCCCUUGCUUAUGUCUUGUAUUGAUUGGACCCUGUAUACUCAAUACUAGAACUCGAAUUGUUUCUUCUCGCCUGGAAGCAAUCAAACUCCAAUGGUGCUCCAAACUGAAACACACAUGGACAUGCUAUUCUUUUGAGGACCCUUAGAUCCACCUCAGGAGGAGCCCUAGCUGCUGUUCCCCAUUGGACGCCCUCUUUCAGCAGGAAGUAGCCAGAAAGAGUCCUCACCCAAAACCCCCUAACAGCAGUUAGUGUGACAUCUCCACAGGGAGGAAUGUUGUAGGAGUUAUGAAGAAAUUAUUUUAGGCGGAUAGAGAGGAAAAGGGGUCCUUGGGAAGUUUUCAUUUUUAAAGCUGCUCUGGACACGUUUCUUGUAAAGCCCUGGCAGAGCCAGGUGAGGAACCUUUGAUAUGCAAAUGUAGGCCGUUAGAAACUGGGUCUACCCAAACCGGGAAAUUCUCGUCCUCUUCUUGCCCUUUCUCCGCAAAUGCCUAGCAGCAUGGCCGCCCCCCACAUAUCCCCACGUGUGUAGAAUAUCAUGGUGCCCUGCAUUUGCUGAUUAAAAGGCCAGGGUGGGAGGGCCAGCUUUUUCGAGGGCUACGUGAAUGACAGGCCUGGUCAAACCAAUCCCCUGAUCCCUAUGCAAAUCAGACACUCUCUCCUCCAGCCUACUCAUAAAACUGGUUGAUAUCAUCGGCCCCUGUGGCACUUGGGGUCUUCUCUUUCGGCUUUGGAGCCCCCUUCCUCUGUCUCUGUACAGGGGAGCCUGUUCCUUCUACCUUCUCUUUUCUUUCUUGCCUAUUAAACUCUCCACUCCUUAAAACAAAAACAAACAAACAAAAAAAGGAUUUUGUUAUUCCCAAUAAAGCUCUGCCACCCAGGAGAGCGUCCCUGCUGUAGGGGUGAGCCAUGCAAAACCAUCCCACACUUGCCAGUGUGAUCCCCAUUGCUGGGAUAUGGUAUUUUUCAGGGCAGUUCUGUCUUUGGUGCUUGCCUCCCUGCAGGACAUGUUUAGAGAAAACCUUACAUUAUGUCCAGGAUUGCUCAAUGUCACAUCCCAUGUUUGAGUGUGUGAUGUCAGAAGUAUCUAGGAUACCCAUUUCCCUGCGUUCAUAAUCCACAUUUGCAGAGAUCCAGUCUUCACUCAGCAGCAGCUCAGCCUGUCAUGGAGUUCCUCCUUGGCUGCUCAGGGGCAUAAGACCACAUAGCCAGGGGUUAGAUUGGCCUUGCAUACAGGCUGGGUGAUGGGCCCAGGCCAGGAAAAUGUCCUCUGAGGAUAUUCAGGCCCUAGUGGGAAUGAUAUAACAGAAAAAGAGAAGGAUGCUCAGGUUAACAGCAAAAAGACAAGGCUGCUGAGCUUAUUGCAGAGGGAAGGUCUGGUACUAGUUUUGUCAUACAGGUUUGGCAGGAGGCUGUGAGAAUCUCUCCUGGGGGGUUUGCUAGACCUCUGUCUCAAUGUGAGAGGAGCUGCUGACUCCACAGUGACAGGGCUGGGUGAGAUCCACUGGACUAGUGCCACUCCAGUGCCCACCAGUAUGGGGUACUGCCUGCCUACUGCCUGUGCAUCUCCCAGGGCCUUUAUCAAAAAGGAAAGGGUCGGGUUCAGGGCGGGGGUGUGCCCCCUGCCUCAGGGGAAGAAGGAUAGCAGUCCAGCCUGGUGGCAUUUUCUAUCCUAGGUCCCAUCUCAAAGUUCCCUGAUCAGAUGUUACGGGACAAGAGGAGUGCAAAAUCAGGGCAUUCUGUGUGGAACUGAGUUCUGUUCUGAAGACAGUGUCUCACUUUUUCCAUACCCGCACGGCUUGCACCAGGUUAUUUACGUCUUCCCGAUGUUCAUAAGAUGACAGUUUUCCCACAACAGGGGGUGCAUUCAAGGCAUGUAUAGCUUCCAUGAAAACCACAACCCAAUUUCUCAGUGAGGAGAGUCCUAUCAAGAGCUUAAUUCAUUCCCUUAGGAGGCCAUUUUUUUCUCUCUAUAAUUCCUGCUCCCGGUUGCUGGAAGGGCAGAUGAAAUUGCCUCUUUUUCAGUUCCAUCUUGGAUUAGGGACCUUGUGCAAUGUGUUCCUUGAUCACUGAUGGUAGUUCUUGGGGUACCAUCCGUUAGUUGCAAGCAUUGCAAACCCCGUACAAUCGCUGUCUGAUUUACUUUUCCGCAGGGGAGAGCCCGCAAGAGGCCAUUCACAGUGUCUACCCUUGUGAGUGCAUAUCAAUGUCUCUUACUGUUAGGGAAUGGGCCAAUAUAAUCUAUUUGCCAUGCGUCCAUGGCAAAUAGAUUUCUCCCCUCUUUUUAUGUUUCUAGUGGCCCCUGGCACUUGUCAAGGUCAGGCUUGGCAACAGACAGGGCAAUUUUGUAUUAUCUUUUUUAUUUCUUGUUUGGACGCUGGCAAACCAGCUUGUUGGGUCAGUUUCAAAGUAGUGUGCAGCCUGCUAUGACCUCCCAUCCAAUGUAUCCAAUGUGCUAUACCUGCUCCUUCAGAGAUGACCAGAGACCUGGCGUGGGCGAGAGUACCUACAUCUGUAUUUCCACUGGGGGAUGACUGUUGGUAAGAUGCAAUGUGGAACACUGUGACUUCAGUCCCUGGUUGGUGUAAUUGAUCCCAAAUGUUUGCCCAUAGUUCUGCCUCCCACAGCAGCUUUCCAUUUAUGGACCAUUGAUCCUUUUCCCAUUGGUUAUCCACAGCGUCAACCCCUUUGUGACUGCCUGGGAAUCAAUAUACAGAGCUACUGGGUGUGGCUAUGUAUUAAGCCAUUCUUGCAUUGCUAUAAAGAAAUACCUGAGACUGGCUAAUUUAUACAGAACAGAGAGGUUUAAUUGGCUCAUGUUUCUGCAGGCUAUACAGGAAGCAUAGCACCAACAUCUGCUUCUGGGGGGACCAGUACGCUUUUACUUAUAGCAGAGGGUAAAAGGGGAGCCUGCAGUUCACAUGGCAAAAGUAGGACCAAGAGACAGAGUAUGGUUGUCGGGGGUGGAGGUGUUAUAUACUUUUAAAAGACUAGUUCUCAUGUAAACUCUGAGAGCUCACUUAGCACCAGGGGGAUGGCCCAGGCCAUUUGUGAUGAUGUCAAACUUGACUGGAUUGAAGGAUGCCUAGAUAGCUGGUAAAGUAUUAUUUCUGGGUGUGUCUGUGAGGGUGUUGCCGGAGGAGAUUCACAUUUGAGUCAGUGGGGCUGGCAGACGAAGACCCACCUUCAGUGUGGGUGGGCACCAUCCCUUUGGCUGUCAGUGUGGCUAGAACGAAGCUGGUGGGAAAAGGUGGGAUAACCUUGUUUGCUGAGUUCUCUGGCUGCCUUCUUUCUCCCAUGCUGGAUUCUUCCUCCCACUCCUCCUGCCCUUGGUCGUUAGACUUCAGGUUCUUUGGCCUUUGGACUCUGGCACUUGCACCAGUUGUUUGCCAGGAGCCCUCAGGCUUUUGGAUGUAGACUGAAGGCUGCCUUGCUGGCUUCCCUGGUAUGAGGCUUUUAGACUCAGACUGAGCCACUGCUGGCUUCUCGCUUCCCCAGCUUGCAGAUGGCCUAUUGUAGGACUUAGCCUUGUAAUUAUGUAAGCCAACUCUCCCUAAUAGACUCCUAUAUAUAGGAGACGUGUAUCUAUUUAUCUGUCUUACUUGUUCUGUGCCUCUAGAAAACCCCAACUAAUAUGCCAUUCAUGAGGGAUCUGCUCACAAGAUCCAGAUACCUCCCACCAGGCUCCACUUCCAACACUGGGGAUUACAGUUCAACAUGAGUUUGGGCAGGGACAAAUAUCCAAACUAUAUCAGGCUUUUUCAUAACCACUAAGCAGGUUAUCUUGUAAUUCUGCCCACUGGCUGCAACACCCCAUUCCAGGUUCCACCCCCAUCGUAUCAGUGGCUAGUGGAAUAGCCACUGCAGUCCACCGGGGUGGCUAACCCACGCUGGAGCCAUCUGUGUACCGAGCAUCCUUGGGUGGGUUCCUAUCUCUGUCCUUUAUUUAAUGGGGUUUCUCUGGGCGUGGUGUUGGGAUUGAUUUUAAAUCUACACUGUGUUGUGCAGGUCCCAGCGGUUCUGUAGACAGAGGGCUAGAUGGAAGGUGCCCUCUCUGCUCGAGAUAUGCAUACCACCUAAACAGAGUCCUGUUGUGCUCUGGCUGAUGGAGGUCUGGCAAAUAGACCAUCAACCCAAACCCUGAUAGGAUAGUCUGUUUUUACUUCCACUAGCAUAUCUCCAGUUAGGGCCUCUGUUUGCAAGAGGACUUGGUAAACUGCAAAGAGUUUUCAUUUUUUCCAACAGGGUAUAGCAUUGCUGGGCUCCCCUGAACAAUCGUGACCAAAAGCCAAUGGGCAUUCGUUGGUUACCCUUCCUCUGCCAGAGGGUCCAACCCAUUGUUUUCCUGAGUCACAGAAACACUGAAUUCAAAUGGUCUCUGAGGGGUGACAAUUUACAGGACUUGUGCUUGCAUCACUAAGGCCCUCCUCUGAGUAAAGGAGGCUUCUUUAGUGCCCCAGUCCUGAUAUGCAUUCUUCUUUAUUAGGAGCUAUAAUGGUCUGAGACAUAGGGCCAAGUAGGGAACAAAGGUCUGUCAAUAUUCUAACAGGCCUUCGAAGGGUUGUAAUUCUAUAAUGGCGUGGGGCCGUGGGUAAACCUGUAUCUUGUCACUCAUGGCUGCUGGCUUACCUGACCAGACCACACCCAGGAAUUUUACAGUGGCCCCUGGCCCCUGGCCCCUGGACUGUCUUUGGGUUGUCAGUCCAUCUUCUGGAUUGCAGGUGCUCUAGAAUCUUUUGGGCACCUUCUGCAAAAGACCCAAAUCUGCAGAAGUUAGCAAAAUAUGUCCACAUAAUGAUUUCAGAGACUGCCAGACAUAUCACUCAAAAUGGCCAGGUCUCUGGCUACCAAGCCAUGGCAGAUAGUGGGGCUAUGCAAGUACCCUGGGGGAGCACCUGAAAGGUCCUCCCAGGUGAAGAAAAUAAUGUUCUGGGACUUUGGGUCUAAGGGUGCUAAAGAAAGCCCGUGCUAAAUCCAGGACAGUAUGCCAUAUACCUAAACAAGUAGCCAGGCUUCCCAGUAUUUAAGCCACAUUUGGAAUAGUGUCAUGUCUGGGCAGAGUCAUCUUAUUUAGUUCCCAGCAAUAAGCCAUCAUUCUCCAGGUGCCACAGGCUUUCCUGCCCACUAUACAGGGCUGUCGUAUGAACUGUGUGUAGAAUGCACAAUCCUCACUCUCUCCACUCCCUGAAGAGUAGCCAUUGUUUUCUUGGUGCCCACCUGGGAGAUGGAAGAGUUGGCAGCACCAGCCCACUCCUCCUGCUCAUGCCAUCUGUAUGGGUUCCACAGCCCCUCAUCCUCAGCCUGCAUGAGCCACCUGCCACUCUGCUGCCCCGCCAGUCUGCGCCAGGCUGCCUGUCCACACCAUGGCCGCUGCUGCAGACCCCACUUCUGUCCAGCACAACCUGACCGUGUGUGACGGUUAAUACUGAGAGUCAACCUGAUUGGGUCAAAGGAUGUAAAGUAUUGUUCCUGAGUGUAUCUGUGAGGAUGUUGCCAGAGGAGAUUCACAUUUGAGUCAGUGGACUGGGAGAAGAAGACCCACCGUCAACAUGGGUGGGCACCAGCCAGUCAGCUGCAGUAUAAAGGAAGGCAGAAGAAGGUGGACUAAGCUGGCUUACUCAGUCUUCCGGCCUUCAUCUUUCUCCCAUGCUUAAUGCUUCCUUGAACAUCAGACUCCAGGAUCUUCAGCCUUUGGACUCUUGGACUUACACCAGUGGUCCCCAGCAAAUGACAGAAGGCUGUACUGUCGGUUUGUCUGCUUGUGAGGUUUUGGGACUUGGACUGAGCCACUACUGGCUUCCUAGCUCUUCGGCUUGCAGACAGCCUGUUGUGGGACUUCACCUUCUGAUCAUGUGAGCCAACUCUCUUUAAUAAAUUCUCUUUCAUAUAUACAUUUAUCCUAUUAGUUCUUUCCCUCUGGAGAACCCUGACUAAUACACCAGGCCACUACUGCAGCCACUGUCCACCCCUGGCCACCGGAGACUGGGUCUCCUGGUGCCUCCUCUUUUCCACUUUUUUCUUUUCUUUUAUUUGUCUCUCCACCACCAGCAGGUAGUACUCAGAACUGCCACCACCAUCCAAAGCUCCCGUGGUGGCAAAACUGACGCUGCAGACUCCUCAGGCACCUCUCUGCAGAGCACCCUUUCUCCGUUUUUCUUCUCUUGGGUGUGUAUGUAACUGACAGAGUGGUGGUGCUGCACAUGCCUUUUUCCAGCGGGUUCAUCAGUGUUUGGAAACCUCUGUCAGGGUGCUGGCUCCAUGGACUACAUCCUCUUCUAGCAUCAUCCUCGCCUGGACCCACCCCAUGUUCACUGUUCCAUGGGACUCUGCAAUGCUGGACCUUAGCAUAUACACUGAGGGUCCCUGCCAGGACCCACCCACUAAAGAAAGGACCUAAAUCACUCCUAUAUUGUCUCUUGAUGGAAGAACAGAAAAUACAUCACACAGGGCUCUCUCCUUUGUGUCUUCCCCAUAGAGGUCGUAUUUGCUGGCAAUGUAGUUGAGAAUUUCUCUGGUCUGCGCCAGCUUCAUCCCAUCAAUCUCAACAUUGGCACUUUCUGGAACAUCAAAUUCCCAUCUUUAGAAAGAAGGAAAAGCAAGGAGAGUGAAAUGUCUAUGAAUCCCACUCUUUUAGGAGGAAAAGAUGGUUGUGGAAAUGACUAAAUUUGUGAAAUAAAAAAGAAAUUAUUGCCCGAUAAGAUUUCACUUGAAAGUGCAUUUUUAAAAAGCUUCCUGUACUCCUUCUUUUUGUUAACAAGCUUCCUUUUACUUUUUAUUGUGUUGUUUCAUUUAUGUUUUUAUUUCCCCUCCAGAUACGUAGUAGGACUCUUGUCUUUUUUGUGUUGAUUUAUCUUCAUGGAUAUUUUAGGAAGAUGUUGGGAUAGGUUACAACAGGACUGCCAGUAGGAUGCCAUUUAAAACGGGAGGUUCCCAGAAUAAGUCUCAUAACGUUUGUGACAUUUAAGGCAGGUUCUGAGAGGUUUUUAUGUAAGGGUUCCUUUCUGUGCUCUUCAAAGCCUGCAAUAUUGCUUUACUAUUACCUUGUCACACCCCCCAUGAAAGAACAAAACUCAAGACAAUGGCCACAUCUAUUUCUCUUCCUUUCAUCUAAUCCAUGUCCUUGCAUGUCUUUGGAUGGGGAGGCCUGUGUGGGAUCCUGAGCUGAUCACCACAGCUCAUUCAUGGUGACCUAAGCAUGAAAACAAGGAAAGGGCAUUCUCAGGGCGCUGGGGAUAGUUCUUGUAGCAAAUACACUGAGAACUCUAGUCCUUUCAGCCUGGAGGGAGUUGCCAGACCUGAUCAAAGAGCCACAGCCCUUCCAUUUUAAACAGUUACUCCCUCUCCACCAUGCGCAAAUACCACCCUACAUAAACAUACGCAUUGCCGGCUGUUCAAAUUUCCUUGUGUACCUUCUACUACACACCCUCAUCAGAGGCACUUAGAGACUUCAUCUUACCAUUUCUGAACUUGUCCAAAUCCUCUGCAGAUUCUAGAAAUUUCUCAUCAAACUGGAAGCAGAAAGAGUAAAUGGGUUUUUGUUCAUUCCAUCGCAUUAUAAACUUUUGACUUUGAAAAGCCCCUAUCUGGCGCAUCAUUUGGAGAAUAUAAUAUUUCUAAGUUUGGCAGUGCACACGGAGGGGCUGGUCAUGGCCGUUUGUAAAUUUAGACCUGAUUCAUCGAGGAAAGGGCAUGGGUCACAGUACAGAUCUGCUCAGUCUUCUCAUUCGUUUCACCUCCAGCCUGGUCUCACGAAUGUCUACGAUUAGGUCAUGUUUUGAGAGGGGAUGUCACUAGAGGAUUCUCUAGUUUCACCUCCUACUGUAUUUUCUCUAUUGUGUCUGUAUUUCUCUAUUGUGUCUUUCCCUGCGUUAAUUUGACAUGAUGUAUUCAAUAUCAGCUUUCCCCCUAGACCUUGAGCCCCUGAGAGCAGAGCCUUCUUGUUUGAGUCCAGUCCUCAAUGUCCUGUAUAAAACCUGGACAUCGUAGGAGCUCCUAAAAUAAGAUAGCUUUUAAAUUUACAUGGAAAAAUUCUAGCAAAUACAAAAGUAGAGAGAAUCAUAUAACAAGCCUGAAGGUACCCGUGACCUGGAUUCAUCAAUUGCCAGCAACCUUCCUUCAUCAAAUACCAUGCGAUGGGUUAAGUUGUAUUGGCUCCCAAGAAAGAUAGGUCCAUGUCCAAAUCCCUGGUUCCUGUAAGUGAGAUCUUAUUUGGAAAAAGGCUCUUUGCAGAUGUAAUGAAGUUGGGGAACUUGAGAUGAGAUCAUCCUGGUGUAUCCAGAUAGGCUCUAAAUCCAAUCACAAAUGUCCCUGCAACAUAGACAACAGAAGACACAGACACACAGAGGCUGAGGUGCUGGAAGCCCCAGGCAGAAAGUAGAGUGACGUGGCCAUGAUCCAUGAAAGUCCAGAAAUGCCAAGAGCCCCCAGAAGGUGUAAGAGGCAGGGAAUUAUUGUUCCCUAGAGCUUCCGGGGGAAUCUGGCCCUCACACCCUGACUUCAGACUCCUGGCCUUCAGAAUUGUAAGAAAAAGUAUUUCUGUUUUUUCAAGCCACCCAGUUUGUAGGAAUCUGUGAGAGGAACCACAAGAAAAUAAUACAAAGUCCCACCUACUCCCCGCACUACCCGGGGAUUCUUUUGAAGCAAAUCCCAGACAGCAUAUCAUUUAAUCUGUAAAUACUAGUAUUGCUCUCUAGAAAGGAAGAACUUCUGUUCUGAACAUAGUCACACGAUUCUCUUAUCAUAUUAAAAUUCUAUAAUUCCUCAAUUUCAUUAAAGUUUCAGCAUUCUAGUUCACGUAAGUGUCCCAUGAAAAUUUCUUAGCUGUUUGUUUAUUUUGGUCAGCAUCCGAGCAAGGUCCUUACAAAGCAUUUGAGGAAUGUGGGUCAAUAUUUUUUUAAGAAAUUAAUGAAUGAAUACAGAUAGAUAGAGUGUGUGGGGAUUUGUGAGUUCUGAAAGCCCAGUCUCGUAUACCCAGGUUCUGGAGGCGUGAUAGAGCUGUGCAUGGAUCUGUGCAGAUGUCAUUGCCCAUUGGUGAUGAGCCACUGGGGACCCAGCAGGCCAAUCCCCACACCAUGAGCUCACAGGACAGUGGAGCAGACACAGUGGCCUUCAGGUGUUAUUAGAGGCUCACUGGGGCUCUGUGGAGAGCACAGAGGACAGCCCCACUGCUCCUGGGAAGCAGUGAGGUAACGUUAAGUGUGGCCACUGGGAAGAAGCUUGCCAGGCAGGGGUAACAAAUGCACCCAGGCAGAAAGGCAAGAGGCCCUAACCAUGCUCAGAGGGUUGAUUGGGCUGGAGAUCAGGGAGUGAGGAUGGGUGUGAGGAUACGUUCUGUAUGCAGUGAGGAAUUCUGUGAUUUUGUGUGUGUGUGUGUGUGUGUUUUAGAAAAACUACUCUUGUUAUAAGCAGAGAGGAGACGAGAGCAAAGUGAAGCUGCAGGUAAAAAGACUAUCGGUGGUCACAGUCAUGAGAGAAAUCGGUGGAAUCACUGCCAGUAAUCACGGAUGCUGUGCUGGGAUUUACCAUGUCUAUUGUGGUUUGUUCUGUGCAUAAACUUAGUGUGAGUCAAAUGGCCAAAGACCUGCCUCCUGAGUAAUCCUGAGAGUCCCUGGCACAGCCAUCUCAGCCAUGUUCCUCGCCCUCUCUCAUCAUUUUACACCUCCCAGGCCCACUUCUAUGCCCCAUGUUAGCAGUUCCUCCGAUUACUCCCAUGAGAUAUAAUUCCACAGCCCUCUCCGUGUGCUGUUGCCCAGCUCUGGCCAUGUGUGCCUUUCCUGAGACCCCACCUAAAAGAUUGACUUCCUUGGUGAAAUUCUCUAUACAGUUACAACCAGUGCAAACUUUUCCUCUUUCGUGUCAAACUGGGGUUUCACAAUAUUUUUUUAAAACAACAGCUUUAUUGAUGUAUAUUCACAUACUAUAAUUGCCACCUGUUAAGUAUGAGUGGUUUUUAGUGCAUUCACAGAAUUCUGUAAAAAUCAUCACAGUCUAUUUCCAGAAUAGUGUUUAUCACCCUGAUAAGGACAUCUGUACCAUUAGCAGUAUUCGUCCCCAAGCCCCACUCCUUCAGCCCCAGGCAAACACUAAUCUACUUUUUGACUCUAUGGAUUUGAGUAUUCUGCACAUUUCAUAUGAAAACAAUCCUACAA
This is a long non-coding RNA of Sapajus apella (tufted capuchin), 10983 nucleotides long. RefSeq lists it as uncharacterized. The record is from RefSeq and is a predicted model, not a curated record. NCBI's taxonomy places the organism in Eukaryota, Metazoa, Chordata, Mammalia, Primates, Cebidae. The transcript is spliced from 2 exons.